Asparagus officinalis (garden asparagus) is the source of this 550-nucleotide long non-coding RNA. RefSeq lists it as uncharacterized. Lineage: Eukaryota; Viridiplantae; Streptophyta; Magnoliopsida; Asparagales; Asparagaceae. The transcript has 4 exons. The record is from RefSeq and is a predicted model, not a curated record.
AUUCUUCGACGUCUUUGAUGUUCCUGUAUUUUGGCCUAUUCUCGUAGUCUACUUUUCUGGGAUAUUUGCUAUCACAAUGAAGGGUUGCAUACGUCACAUGAUCACAUACAAAUACCUUCCUUUUUCUACUGGAAAGCAGCAGCACUAUGGGAAGAAACCAGCAUCAACUGAGGAUGAAACCAUUCCCAUGACUUGAACUUACUAGUAAGUGUAGCAUGUGUUGUUUCAAUGAGCAGCUAACCUCAAUCGUCUUCCCUUCCUUUCCAUUGUGGGAUAUGACGUAUAUUUCCAGCAACAGAGGAUCCGGCCGCACUCCACUAAACUGGGAAUCAUGCUCUGUCAUUACCCUCGCCGCCGCCAAGGGCAUCGCCUUCACUCUGAGAAUGAAUUUUUUGACUCAAAUUUGGAGAUGGCUUAGUUAAAUUUUUUGUGAACUGUAAUUGCAUUUUUUGUAAAUUUGGAGAUGGGACAGUUACUUUUUUUAUAAAUUGUAAUUGCAUUUUUUGUAAAUUUGGAGAUGGACUAUGAUAAUGGCAAUCAAGUUCCUAAC